UACAGAGGGCGCGAGCGUUAAUCGGAAUUACUGGGCGUAAAGCGUGCGUAGACGGUAGCGUAAGUCAGAUGUGAAAGCCCCGGGCUCAACCUGGGAAUUGCAUUUGAGACUGCUCUGCUCGGGUGCGGAAGAGGGAAGCGGAAUUUCCGGUGUAGCGGUGAAAUUCGUAGAUAUUCGGAAGAACACCAGUGGCGAAGGCGACUUACUGGACACAUAUUGACGCUGAGGUGCGAAAGCGUGGGGAGCAAACAGG
RNAcentral lists this ribosomal RNA (253 nucleotides) under uncultured bacterium. RNAcentral's name for it is "partial 16S ribosomal RNA". It matches the Rfam family "Bacterial small subunit ribosomal RNA", at positions 524 to 776 of the family's 1533-position model. The record is from RNAcentral.